AGAGUUUGAUCAUGGCUCAGGAUGAACGCUAGCUACAGGCUUAACACAUGCAAGUCGAGGGGAAACGACAUCGAAAGCUUGCUUUUGAUGGGCGUCGACCGGCGCACGGGUGAGUAACGCGUAUCCAACCUGCCCAUCACUUGGGGAUAACCUUGCGGAAGUAAGACUAAUACCCAAUGACGUCUCUAGAAGACAUCUGAAAGAGAUUAAAGAUUUAUCGGUGAUGGAUGGGGAUGCGUCUGAUUAGCUUGUUGGCGGGGUAACGGCCACCAAGGCGACGAUCAGUAGGGGCUCUGGAGAGGAAGGUCCCCCACAUUGGAACUGAGACACGGUCCAAACUCCUACGGGAGGCA
Molecule: ribosomal RNA, 353 nt
Filed under: uncultured bacterium
Lineage: Bacteria
Description: bacterial SSU rRNA
Rfam family: Bacterial small subunit ribosomal RNA
Source: RNAcentral